UAGCCGCUGGUGCUGGAUGCAAAAUACGGACGAAACUAGGCGAUCACCGGACGUCGCCGCGGACAGUAGCGGGAGGAAUAGGCGGAAAAAUGAGUUUAGGGGUUAGGAGAGAGAGAAUGAAAUUGAAAUUAAAUUUUUUUUGGAAAAAAAUAUUUCUUUUAUUAUCCUAGUACAUGUAAUCAAAUCUUCCACCUAGGCAGCAUUAAUGUACGUUAGUAGUUUCCUAAUAUAGAAGAAUCGAUUAAAUUUUUUUAAUUUUGUUCCAGGUUGCUGGUCCAAAUAAUCGACGGCCCAGGUGCUACAAGAAAACGAACGGCUGUGAUGAAGAGGGGUUUUCAUUAGAACCCUUCUUAACGGAUAUACACCCUAAUUAUAUAUAAUAUUAUAAAAAUAUCAAAUAUAG
This 403-nucleotide long non-coding RNA is filed under the name Zostera marina. Its description in RNAcentral is "long non-coding RNA (ZMAR_LNC003341)". Lineage: Eukaryota; Viridiplantae; Streptophyta; Magnoliopsida; Alismatales; Zosteraceae. The record is from RNAcentral.